This is a transfer RNA of 73 nucleotides. It matches the Rfam family "tRNA". From Rfam's summary of the family: Transfer RNA (tRNA) molecules are approximately 80 nucleotides in length. Their secondary structure includes four short double-helical elements and three loops (D, anti-codon, and T loops). Further hydrogen bonds mediate the characteristic L-shaped molecular structure. tRNAs have two regions of fundamental functional importance: the anti-codon, which is responsible for specific mRNA codon recognition, and the 3' end, to which the tRNAs corresponding amino acid is attached (by aminoacyl-tRNA synthetases). tRNAs cope with the degeneracy of the genetic code in two manners: having more than one tRNA (with a specific anti-codon) for a particular amino acid; and 'wobble' base-pairing, i.e. permitting non-standard base-pairing at the 3rd anti-codon position.
GGGGAUGUAGCUCAGCUGGUAGAGCACCUGCUUUGCAAGCAGGGGGUCAGGAGUUCGAAUCUCCUCAUCUCCA